This 383-nucleotide ribosomal RNA is filed under the name uncultured Glomus. RNAcentral's name for it is "SSU rRNA". It matches the Rfam family "Eukaryotic small subunit ribosomal RNA", at positions 569 to 959 of the family's 1831-position model. Lineage: Eukaryota; Fungi; Glomeromycota; Glomeromycetes; Glomerales; Glomeraceae. The record is from RNAcentral.
AGCAGCCGCGGUAAUUCCAGCUCCAAUAGCGUAUAUUAAAGUUGCUGCAGUUAAAAAGCUCGUAGUUGAAUUUCGGGAUCAAUAUGUUGGUCGUGCCUCGGUACGUACUAGCUUAUUGGUUUCUCCCUUCUGAUGAACCAUGAUGUCAUUUAUUUGGUGUUAUGAGGAAUCAGGACUGUUACUUUGAAAAAUUAGAGUGUUUAAAGCAGGCUCACGCUUGAAUACAUUAGCAUGGAAUAAUGAAAUAGGACGUUUGAUCCUAUUUCGUUGGUUUCUAGGAUCGACGUAAUGAUUAAUAGGGAUAGUUGGGGCAUUAGUAUUCAAUUGUCAGAGGUGAAAAUUCUUGGAUUUAUUGAAGACUAACUACUGCGAAAGCAUUUGCC